This is a non-coding RNA of Myotis brandtii (Brandt's bat), 308 nucleotides long. Lineage: Eukaryota; Metazoa; Chordata; Mammalia; Chiroptera; Vespertilionidae. The record is from Rfam.
GGAUGUGAGGGCGAUCUGGCUGCGACAUCUGUCACCCCAUUGAUCGCCAGGGUUGAUUCGGCUGAUCUGGAUGGCUAGGCGGGUGUCCCCCUCCUCCCUCACUGAUCCAUGUGAGUCCCUCCUGAAGCUACGCGCUCGGUUGAAGAGGACGACCUUCCACCCCAAGGAGAGGACCGGUCUUCGGUCAAGGGUAUACGAGUAGCUGCGCUCCCCUGCUAGAACCUCCAAACAAGCUCUCAAAUUAGUGAAUGUGGAAUGCCAUAUGAUCAAAAUAAUACUUAAAUAAUUAAGAGUUACAUCCUAUAUAA